UACGUAGGGGGCAAGCGUUGUCCGGAAUUACUGGGCGUAAAGGGCUCGUAGGCGGCCAACUAAGUCAGACGUGAAAUCCCUCGGCUUAACCGGGGAACUGCGUCUGAUACUGGAUGGCUUGAGGUUGGGAGAGGGAUGCGGAAUUCCAGGUGUAGCGGUGAAAUGCGUAGAUAUCUGGAGGAACACCGGUGGCGAAGGCGGCAUCCUGGACCAAUUCUGACGCUGAGGAGCGAAAGCCAGGGGAGCAAACGGG
Molecule: ribosomal RNA, 253 nt
Filed under: uncultured bacterium
Lineage: Bacteria
Description: partial 16S ribosomal RNA
Rfam family: Bacterial small subunit ribosomal RNA
Source: RNAcentral